UGAAAUCUCUGCAAAUUAUGCAUCCCAUAAUUUUUACAGAAGAGAUAGAGGUUAUUAUAGAGGAAAUCCUUACUACAAUACCGGAAGAGGUCGACAACAAAAUUAGCAAAAUAACUCUACUCCUAGUCAUACUCAGGUUGUAACCAUCCCUAAACCAUUACCUAAAACUGAUAAACCUCCACUCUUGUCAGUUUCUCCUUCACUUGAUACCUCGUUUGGCUGUCAAAUAUGUGAUAAAAUGGGUCACUUGGCCAGAUAUUGUCCUGAAAGAGGGAAUUUUGCAGCCCAUUCAGCUGAACUUCCAAAUACUUAUGAAGACAUUCAGGAAAACUCUGUGACAGUGAGAAAUAUCAACUGGUGCUUAGACUCUGGAGCUACAUAUCAUAUGACUUCAGAAGAUUCUGCCUUUGUGGAAUAUAAGGACUACACAGGUACAAAUGGUGUUAUUGUGGGAAACGGAGAACAACUAAAAAUUGAUAAAAUUGGUAAAAUGAUAUUUAUUCUAAAUAAUAGAACUUACACAUUAAAUCAUGUUCUAUACAUUCCUAAACUUAGAAAAAAUCUGAUAUCUGCCCACAAAUUAUGUACUGAUUUAGAAUGUAGUGUAAAAUUCUUACCUUCUGGUUUUAUUAUUAAGGAUUUGAAGACCAAGGAAAUUUUAUGCAUUGGGAAUAGCAAGCAAGGACUCUUUCACUUUAAAUCAAAACUGGAAAUGGAAAAGGCAUUAACAGCUGAACUCAUAAAGACAGAUCUUUGGCAUUACAGAUUAGGUCAUCCAUCAAUGAAGGUUCUAAAGGAAUUGACACCUGAUCUGCAGUUUGAUAAAAUUGAUCUUAGUUUUAAAUUUUGUAAAUGUUGCCCUUUGGGCAAAUUACAACAAUUACCUUUUAGAAAAGUUGUAAUAAAUUCUAAACAAAUUCUAGAAAUAAUACAUAUUGAUCUUUGGGGUCCAACUCCUGAUAAAUCACUCUAUGGUUUUAAAUACUUUGCUACUAUUGUGGAUGACUUCUCUAGGUUUACUUGAGUAAUACCCCCUAGUUUAUAAAUCUGAUUUUUAUGAAAAAAUUACAAAGUUUGUAAAAGUGAUUGAAAAUCAAUAUGAUAAAAGAAAAAAAAGUAAUUCAAAGCGAUGGAGGUGGUGAAUUUAAAAAUAAUAGGAUAAAUAAAUUCCUAGAAGAAAAAGGAAAUAGGCAUAGAAUCUCUUGUCCCAAUACACCUCAACAAAAUGGGGUGAUCGAGAGAAAACAUAAAUAUAUACUUGAAACUUCAAGAUGUUUAUUUGCACAAUCUGGUGUACCUUAUAAAUUCUGGCCUGAGGUUAUCUUAACUUCAG
Molecule: long non-coding RNA, 1333 nt
Filed under: Zostera marina
Lineage: Eukaryota; Viridiplantae; Streptophyta; Magnoliopsida; Alismatales; Zosteraceae
Description: long non-coding RNA (ZMAR_LNC004099)
Source: RNAcentral